This 332-nucleotide ribosomal RNA is filed under the name uncultured Anaerolineaceae bacterium. RNAcentral describes it as "bacterial SSU rRNA". It matches the Rfam family "Bacterial small subunit ribosomal RNA", at positions 1035 to 1382 of the family's 1533-position model. The record is from RNAcentral. Lineage: Bacteria; Bacillati; Chloroflexota; Anaerolineae; Anaerolineales; Anaerolineaceae.
CAGGUGCUGCAUGGCUGUCGUCAGCUCGUGUCGUGAGAUGUUCGGUUAAGUCCGCUAACGAGCGCAACCCCGCUGUGUGUUACAAGUGUCACACGGUACUGCCGGUCUAAAACCGGAGGAAGGUGGGGAUGACGUCAAGUCAGCAUGGCCUUUAUAUCCUGGGCUACACACACGCUACAAUGGCCGGUACAGUAGGUAGCGAAGCCGCGAGGUGGAGCCAAUCCACAAAGCCGGUCUCAGUUCAGAUUGCAGGCUGCAACCCGCCUGCAUGAAGAUGGAGUUGCUAGUAACCGCAGGUCAGCUAUACUGCGGUGAAUACGUUCCCGGGGCUU